GAAUUCAACGCAAGAUCCUGCUAAUAGCAGACCGAGUACAAUACACGGCAACUUGAUAAUAAUAUUUAUGUUCACUUCAAUAGCUAGGGAGGCGUCAGGUAAUGUGCACGCUUCAGAGGAAAGAGAUGAUGCACAUUACUCCUUUCUGCAAGUAAAGAAAGGAUUUGUUCCGUAACAAGGAUGGAAAGUAUUUGCCAAAAAAAAACAAGGAUGGAAAGUAUAACAGCUUACAAAAACCAACGUCGACAACACAGAUCUGGAACUCGAGUAAAUCAUACUCACAAAUAAGUUUUUGAGAAGAGAGACUUGGAAACCAGAGAAGAGGAGCGAAGAUCAAGACUAGAAUUUGAAAAAAAACAUGAUGGCAAAGUUUACAAAAUUGAGCCAACUGAUGGGAACCCAACAGAUGAUUACAUUCAUAUGCUUGCGACCUUGUAAGAUUUAUGUUGCUUAAUUGCAUUGCUAAAAGUGCACUUCUAUUUUCAGGUGCUAACGAAGAGGAUUAACAAAGAAAAUAGUAUCCAAACUUGCAAAAUACUCUUUUACAUAGAUCUACUCCUAAUAAGACUCCAGUUGCAAGGACAACUGUUAUUUCUUCAAAUGCUCUCAUACAAGUUGCAACGAGGAAUUCUCGAAUGUUUAAAGCAAUGGAUCCAAAGAACUAGCUGGACUGGACUCUAGAUCAUGGACAAUUUAGUUUGGCACUUAAUUAGGAUGGCUAAAUUACAUCUGAGUUUCAUUUGAUGGAUAUUUGCUAUGAGAAUUAUGAAUUUAUGAAUGUACAUAUUAUAUG
Molecule: long non-coding RNA, 793 nt
Organism: Triticum dicoccoides
Lineage: Eukaryota; Viridiplantae; Streptophyta; Magnoliopsida; Poales; Poaceae
Exons: 5
Source: RefSeq, a predicted model, not a curated record